Molecule: long non-coding RNA, 3178 nt
Filed under: Triticum aestivum (bread wheat)
Lineage: Eukaryota; Viridiplantae; Streptophyta; Magnoliopsida; Poales; Poaceae
Description: long non-coding RNA (TAES_LNC004390)
Source: RNAcentral
UCUCCUCGCAAAUAACCGAGCACAACGUCGCCGUCGUUGUGUCGAUCCCGCGGCCACGUGCCUCCCCGUUCCGAACCAUCGCGUCCAGGAGGCGCGUCGCCGUCACCUUCAUCGACUACACCAGCAAAUUGGGGCGUAGGCACUGCAUCGACGACGCACGCGUCUUCCUCCGUCACGGUCGUCGGACGACGCUGUUUGAUCCACACCAUCACGGCAACCUCCGGCCUCCCCGACCUUGCCUAUGUGCUCGCGGUGAGCACCUCCCCCGGAUCCCCCUUCUUCCCGCCUUGAUUCGAUGCCGUAGUCACCGUCCCCGAGUACGUCCAAGCUCCCGCGUACGCGUACGCUUACGUGGGUGCUUGAGCCGCUGCUGCUACUGCCUGCUCACCACUACUCCUGCUGCUCCCUGGCCGCGCCCUCCCAGCUGCCCACGCCGGCGCACAGCUGUGCUCGCCGCAACUGCAUGAUGUCGUUGCCGCCGCUACCUGCCGGCUGUUGCGUUGCCGCAUGCUGCUGCCCGCACCACGCCCUGCUAGCGCCCGAGCCGCACCGGCCCUGCGCACACGCGCGCACCAGCCCGCUUGCUCGCAGCCACAGGCUGCUGCUCCUAACCACCACCCACGCGAGCCCUUUUGGCCUUGCUACCGUGCGUUCAUGCGCGUGCAUGCCCAGCCAUGGGCAUGGCUGUGCCUCUGGCCGGCCCGUUUAAUUGGACUAGGAUUAGCAUUUGAUUGGUUUAGUGUUUGUUUAAUUUAGCUAGGGCUAAUUUAGUCUAUGCCAUGUGGGACCCUAGCUUAGUUAACUCCAUUAAUUUAAUCCAACUUAAAGUAAGUCAAUGACAUGUAGGUCCCCUGGAGAUUAAAAUAAAUAACCAAAAUAAAGUUAGCUACUGUCUGUGACAGCUGGGUCCCCCUCACACUGUUCACUUUGACCGGUCAACUCUGACUGGGUUGUUGACAGGGUCAACCGGGUUCCCUUGGCCCACAUGUCACCCUCUGUGUACACUUCUCUGUACACAGAUCUGGGUACACCUAGCAUUUACUCAUUAUUUUCGAAUUAAUAUUAAUAUCAGAAUAUUAUUAAAUCUUUGAAAUAUCAUAGGAAUUAAUCCGUAACUCGGAUGAAAAAGUUUUAUACAUGAAAGUUGCUCAGAAAAAUAUGACGAAUCCGAAUACGCUCUCUGUUCAUCCGUCACGUGCCCCUAGCAUAGUGAAUAUCGAACUUUUCCCCUCCCGUUCGUUUGUCCGAAAAUGCCUAACUCCGGGAAAACUUUCCGGAUGUUAUCACCCUUCGCCGGUAUCGUGUAGCACCGCGUUAGAACAUGUCUAGCUCUGUGUGUUGUCCUGUUAUGCUCUUACUUGCUAUGUAUUUACUGUUUCUUCCCCCCUCUUCUCUCCGGUAGACCCCGAGAUCGCUGCUGAUGUCCCUGUGAUCGACUACGUCGACGACGACCCUUCUUCCCUUUCAGCGGAGCUUCCAGGCAAGCCCCCCCUUUGAUCAUCCCGAUAUCGCCCAUUCCAUUCUCUCAUGCUUGCAUUAGAUUUUGCUACUGUUAUUGUUUGCUCCUAUUCUGAUGCAUAGCCUACUUUUGUACCUGCUAUUGUUACCUACCUGCUUAUCCUAAACUACUUAGUAUAGGUUGGUUAGAGAUCCAUCAGUGACCACCACCUUGUCCUUGUUACCCCUGCUUCAUCUUCGACGACUCGAUCAACUUGAUCGAUGACCAGAGCCUGACACCUCACAUCACAUCACGCCCCUUUAGUUGCUCGACUCUACAGAGCUACUAUCGAGUGCCGAGGGUGAUCCCUCAUAACGCACUCCUGAUGAUAAUUCUGUGGUGUAGCUAUUCGGUCGUGGUCAACAGGGGUGGUUCCUCUUUCACCAUUCCCGAUACGGCUCUUACGUUCACCUUGAUGAUUACAUUGAGUGGAAUCCACCGGGGGUGAUUCCUCGGGUUUUCCCCUUGAUGUCUGGACACACGGUUACCUUGACUUUACUUGAGACAUUGGUGAAAGUCGGGCGGGCCCGGAGAGCACCCGAGGAGUUAUGGUGGCGGCUGGCUGUUUAGCGGUAUCACCCAGGAGGGGGUGAUAGCUCCGGACUUGUCCCGACAGCUGUCACUUCUUUUAAUAAUGCACUAACAGGUUUGGGUAUUUGUUGUGAAUUGGCCUUUGGCCUUUACGCACUAACCACCACGCGAGAAUAGUUAUAGGCCUCGACGUCGUGGUAUCAGCCGAAGCUUUGUCAGACAUCCAGUUCAGUUGCGGCACGGCCUGGUCGGCGCCCCAGUGGAGGUGGCCUGUGUCGCCCUGCGCGCAACGAUCUGGAGUGCAACGGGCGAUGGGCCCAGACCCCGGAGUGCUUAGGAUGUAGACCGGCGGGGCCUCUCUGCUGAGCCUAGGUAGGGCUGUGACGUGUUGAUCUUCCAAGGCCGGGCAUUGACCCAGAAAAGUGUGUCCGGACAGAGUGAUCGAGCGUGUUGGAAAACAUGGUGCACCCCUGCAGGGAAGAUACAUAUUCGAAUACCGUGUCCACGGUAAUGGACGUUCAGACUUAUAUCUUGAUCUAAUACAACUGGAAAUGGAUACUUAAGUUAUGUGGCUCCGGGAUUGCUUUCUCGCAGGGAGUCGAGGAAGGAUCUCUCGGCAUUAUUGCUACAACAUGCUUGAUAAUUAAACUGCUAUUCUUUACUCUUCUACAUGCUGCAAGACGCUUGGAGCUGCUUGAAGAUGCUAGUCUUUAUAGGCUAGGCCUUCCCCCCCUAUUCUGGCAUUCUGCAGUUCAGUCCACGGAUACAGCCCUUCCUUUUGGUACCAAUGCAUACUUAGUAUAGAUCUGAUGCUUGUGAGUACAUUGGAUGAGUACUCACGGUUGCUUUGCUUCCCCUUUUCCCCCUUCUUUCUUCUUUCCGGUUGAUGCAACCAGAUGGUGGAUCCCUGGAGCUAGAUGCCACCACCGAUGGAUACUAGUACGUGGAGCCCGCCGAUGACCAGGAGUAGUUAGGAGGUCCCAGGCAGGAGGCCUUGCCUCUUCGAUCGUUGAUAUUUGUGCUAGCCUUCUUAAGGAAUCCUUUUUUAACUAAUGUCUGUACUCAGAUAUUGUUGCUUCCGCUGACGCUUGUGUUUCGAGCUUCUGUAUUCGAGCCCUCGAGGCCCCUGGCUUGUAAUGUGAAGCUUGU